This 364-nucleotide long non-coding RNA is filed under the name Populus trichocarpa (black cottonwood). RNAcentral's name for it is "long non-coding RNA (PTRI_LNC000241)". The record is from RNAcentral. Lineage: Eukaryota; Viridiplantae; Streptophyta; Magnoliopsida; Malpighiales; Salicaceae.
ACCAACCUGACCCGGCCGAAACAGUGCUACUCCGUUCUCCACACAGUGGAAAAGCUCCAGGAAUUCAUCUUUUACAUGCUCUCUAAUGUUUGGGGAAGACAAGCUACAACAUAUAGAAUUUGCAAUUCCAGAGACAAAAGAUGAAUAGUUGAGCCGGCUUUUUUCUCUUAGCACAGUGGAUCUUGAAAAAUGAGGUUAGCUGCUGUCGAAAAGCAUAAUUUUCCAGCUUCUUAUCAGCCACAGGUGCAGCCACAAUUACUGUGGGUCCCACCAAAAUAAAAUCUAUUUUUUUGCAUAACCAAACACAUAGAAACUGUGGUUUAUUUGAACCUCCGGUACAGCCGCAUUACCAAACGGCAUCUUA